UAAGGAGCCGUAAAUCACCUUAAAAACUUGGGUAUUAAUCUUCCUUCGCAACUAGAAAUGAUAGAAUCAUUGAAUGGUUUGGGUUGGAAGGGACCUUAAGGAUCAGCUCGUUCCUAUUUCCCUGUUGGGCAGGGAUGCCUUCCACCAGACCAGGCACAGGGCAGCACCUCAUUCUGUCAGCACUCUGCAGACACCAAAGGGAGAUGCCAGUUAUUGACCUGAAGAUCUGUCCUUCUCUUGGAUUCUGACAACAAGACAUUUGGAUACAGGAAGACGGGGCAGUGCAAGGUGGCAAUUUUUAGUGUUUGGAACCACAGAUAAGGUGUAGAACCACCCCAGGACACCAGCCCAGCUCAUCCAGCUCUGAGGGGAACCCCAGUUACUCUCAGGAACACUCAGGAGAGUGUCCAGCACCACCUCAUACUAAAAAAUGGAUAAAACACCUUGUAUGUUGCAGUAUGCAAUUAUAGCCAUAGGUGUAAACAGGCAUAAUCUACUCUUUUUCACUGGCCACAAGCAU
Molecule: long non-coding RNA, 520 nt
Organism: Oenanthe melanoleuca
Lineage: Eukaryota; Metazoa; Chordata; Aves; Passeriformes; Muscicapidae
Exons: 3
Source: RefSeq, a predicted model, not a curated record